Molecule: ribosomal RNA, 1447 nt
Filed under: Limosilactobacillus fermentum
Lineage: Bacteria; Bacillati; Bacillota; Bacilli; Lactobacillales; Lactobacillaceae
Description: bacterial SSU rRNA
Rfam family: Bacterial small subunit ribosomal RNA
Source: RNAcentral
UGCAAGUCGAACGCGUUGGCCCAAUUGAUUGAUGGUGCUUGCACCUGAUUGAUUUUGGUCGCCAACGAGUGGCGGACGGGUGAGUAACACGUAGGUAACCUGCCCAGAAGCGGGGGACAACAUUUGGAAACAGAUGCUAAUACCGCAUAACAGCGUUGUUCGCAUGAACAACGCUUAAAAGAUGGCUUCUCGCUAUCACUUCUGGAUGGACCUGCGGUGCAUUAGCUUGUUGGUGGGGUAACGGCCUACCAAGGCGAUGAUGCAUAGCCGAGUUGAGAGACUGAUCGGCCACAAUGGGACUGAGACACGGCCCAUACUCCUACGGGAGGCAGCAGUAGGGAAUCUUCCACAAUGGGCGCAAGCCUGAUGGAGCAACACCGCGUGAGUGAAGAAGGGUUUCGGCUCGUAAAGCUCUGUUGUUAAAGAAGAACACGUAUGAGAGUAACUGUUCAUACGUUGACGGUAUUUAACCAGAAAGUCACGGCUAACUACGUGCCAGCAGCCGCGGUAAUACGUAGGUGGCAAGCGUUAUCCGGAUUUAUUGGGCGUAAAGAGAGUGCAGGCGGUUUUCUAAGUCUGAUGUGAAAGCCUUCGGCUUAACCGGAGAAGUGCAUCGGAAACUGGAUAACUUGAGUGCAGAAGAGGGUAGUGGAACUCCAUGUGUAGCGGUGGAAUGCGUAGAUAUAUGGAAGAACACCCAGUGGCGAAGGCGGCUACCUGGUCUGCAACUGACGCUGAGACUCGAAAGCAUGGGUAGCGAACAGGAUUAGAUACCCUGGUAGUCCAUGCCGUAAACGAUGAGUGCUAGGUGUUGGAGGGUUUCCGCCCUUCAGUGCCGGAGCUAACGCAUUAAGCACUCCGCCUGGGGAGUACGACCGCAAGGUUGAAACUCAAAGGAAUUGACGGGGGCCCGCACAAGCGGUGGAGCAUGUGGUUUAAUUCGAAGCUACGCGAAGAACCUUACCAGGUCUUGACAUCUUGCGCCAACCCUAGAGAUAGGGCGUUUCCUUCGGGAACGCAAUGACAGGUGGUGCAUGGUCGUCGUCAGCUCGUGUCGUGAGAUGUUGGGUUAAGUCCCGCAACGAGCGCAACCCUUGUUACUAGUUGCCAGCAUUAAGUUGGGCACUCUAGUGAGACUGCCGGUGACAAACCGGAGGAAGGUGGGGACGACGUCAGAUCAUCAUGCCCCUUAUGACCUGGGCUACACACGUGCUACAAUGGACGGUACAACGAGUCGCGAACUCGCGAGGGCAAGCAAAUCUCUUAAAACCGUUCUCAGUUCGGACUGCAGGCUGCAACUCGCCUGCACGAAGUCGGAAUCGCUAGUAAUCGCGGAUCAGCAUGCCGCGGUGAAUACGUUCCCGGGCCUUGUACACACCGCCCGUCACACCAUGAGAGUUUGUAACACCCAAAGUCGGUGGGGUAACCUUUUAGGAGCCAGCCGCCU